ACGAGUUUGAUCAUGGCUCAGGAUGAACGCUAGCGGCAGGCCUAACACAUGCAAGUCGAGGGGUAUAGUUCUUCGGAACUAGAGACCGGCGCACGGGUGCGUAACGCGUAUGCAAUCUACCUUUUACAGGGGAAUAGCCCAGAGAAAUUUGGAUUAAUGCCCCAUAGUGUUAUAGAAUCGCAUGGUUUUAUAACUAAAGUUCCAACGGUAAAAGAUGAGCAUGCGUCCCAUUAGUUAGUUGGUAAGGUAACGGCUUACCAAGACAAUGAUGGGUAGGGGUCCUGAGAGGGAGAUCCCCCACACUGGUACUGAGACACGGACCAGACUCCUACGGGAGGCAGCAGUGAGGAAUAUUGGACAAUGGGCGCAAGCCUGAUCCAGCCAUGCCGCGUGCAGGAAGACGGUCCUAUGGAUUGUAAACUGCUUUUGUACAGGAAGAAACACUCCCUCGUGAGGGAGCUUGACGGUACUGUAAGAAUAAGGAUCGGCUAACUCCGUG
RNAcentral lists this ribosomal RNA (499 nucleotides) under uncultured bacterium. RNAcentral's name for it is "bacterial SSU rRNA". It matches the Rfam family "Bacterial small subunit ribosomal RNA", at positions 1 to 507 of the family's 1533-position model. The record is from RNAcentral.